GACGAACGCUGGCGACAUGCCUAAUACAUGCAAGUCGAGCGAACAGAUGAAGUGCUUGCACUUCUGACGUUAGCGGCGAACGGGUGAGUAACACGUAAGGAAUCUACCUAUAAGCGGGGGAUAACAUUCGGAAACGGGUGCUAAUACCGCAUAAUAUCUUCUUCCGCAUGGAAGAAGAUUGAAAGACGGCUCUGCUGUCACUUAUAGAUGACCUUGCGGUGCAUUAGUUAGUUGGUGGGGUAAUGGCCUACCAAGACGAUGAUGCAUAGCCGACCUGAGAGGGUGAUCGGCCACAUUGGGACUGAGACACGGCCCAAACUUCUACGGGAGGCUGCAGUAGGGAAUCUUCCGCAAUGGGCGAAAGCCUGACGGAGCAAUGCCGCGUGAGUGAAGAAGGCCUUCGGGUCGUAAAACUCUGUUAUAAGAGAAGAACAGAUUGUAGAGUAACUGCUACAGUCUUGACGGUAUCUUAUCAGAAAGCCACGGCUAACUACGUGCCAGCAGCCGCAGUAA
RNAcentral lists this ribosomal RNA (513 nucleotides) under uncultured bacterium. RNAcentral's name for it is "partial 16S ribosomal RNA". It matches the Rfam family "Bacterial small subunit ribosomal RNA", at positions 28 to 523 of the family's 1533-position model. The record is from RNAcentral.